CUGGAGCGCAAAUUGCUCUUGGCUGGUUUUCUGGAAGUGCAAGCGCUCGAGGACACUCAAUCCCUCACUAUCACUGGCAAGAAGGCUUCUUGGAAGGCGGGUUCAUCCUUCGCUCUCAAGAAGGCAACUAAGACCAUUCCCAAGCUUCAGAUUGAUGAUGACUCUGAACUUAUAGAUGAGGACAGCCUUCUGACUGAAGACGACCUGAAGAAACCACAACUACCACUGGUUGGAGAUUGCGAAGUUGGAAGCACAAGGAAAGCCUGCAAGAACUGCACCUGCGGACGGGCCGAAG
This 295-nucleotide unclassified non-coding RNA is filed under the name Hevea brasiliensis (rubber tree). The record is from RNAcentral. Lineage: Eukaryota; Viridiplantae; Streptophyta; Magnoliopsida; Malpighiales; Euphorbiaceae.